UACAGAGGGGGCAAGCGUUGUUCGGAAUUACUGGGCGUAAAGCGCACGUAGGCGGCUUAGCAAGUCGGAUGUGAAAUCCCUCGGCUCAACCAAGGAAGUGCAUCCGAAACUGCUGAGCUUGAGUACGAAAGAGGAUCGCGGAAUUCCCGGUGUAGAGGUGAAAUUCGUAGAUAUCGGGAGGAACACCAGUGGCGAAGGCGGCGAUCUGGGUCGAUACUGACGCUGAGGUGCGAAAGCGUGGGGAGCAAACAGG
This 253-nucleotide ribosomal RNA is filed under the name uncultured bacterium. RNAcentral describes it as "partial 16S ribosomal RNA". It matches the Rfam family "Bacterial small subunit ribosomal RNA", at positions 524 to 776 of the family's 1533-position model. The record is from RNAcentral.